This 150-nucleotide small RNA is filed under the name Winogradskyella wandonensis. Its description in RNAcentral is "Flavo-1 RNA". The record is from RNAcentral. Lineage: Bacteria; Pseudomonadati; Bacteroidota; Flavobacteriia; Flavobacteriales; Flavobacteriaceae.
UGAUAGGCUCGCGUUAGCGAUGGCAGCGGCAUCCUUUUUGUCCACUUACAUUUAGAAAGUUGAUGCUUGCUUAAAAAUCCUAUACAGUUUUUAGUUGCUGAAAAUGAAUAAAUUAAGCCCAAAAAGAUACAGCGAAAAGCGCGGUCAUCU